RNAcentral lists this ribosomal RNA (406 nucleotides) under uncultured bacterium. Its description in RNAcentral is "partial 16S ribosomal RNA". It matches the Rfam family "Bacterial small subunit ribosomal RNA", at positions 30 to 526 of the family's 1533-position model. The record is from RNAcentral.
AUUGAACGCUGGCGGCAGGCCUAACACAUGCAAGUCGAACGAGUGGCGGACGGGUGAGUAAUGUCUGGGAAACUGCCUGAUGGAGGGGGAUAAAUACUGGAAACGGUAGCUAAUACCGCAUACCAUCGGAUUUGCCCAGAUGGGAUUAGCUGGUAGGUGGGGGAAAGGCUCACCUAGGCGAAGAUCCCUAGCUGGUGUGAGAGGAUGACCGGCCACACUGGAACGGAAACACGGUCCAGACUCCUACGGGAGGCAGCAGUGGGGAAUAGUGCACAAUGGUCGAAAGCCUGAGGCAGCAAUGCCGCGUGUAUGAAUAAGGCCUUCGGGUUGUAAAGUACUUUCAGCGGGGAGGCGUUACCCGCAGAAGAAGCACCGGCUAACUCCGUGCCAGCAGCCGCGGUAAUAC